Molecule: ribosomal RNA, 775 nt
Filed under: uncultured Neocallimastigales
Lineage: Eukaryota; Fungi; Neocallimastigomycota; Neocallimastigomycetes; Neocallimastigales
Description: partial large subunit ribosomal RNA
Rfam family: Eukaryotic large subunit ribosomal RNA
Source: RNAcentral
CGCAUCUGUGCAUGCAGCAUAUCAAUAAGCGGAGGAAAAGAAACUAACAAGGAUUCCCCUAGUAACGGCGAGUGAAGCGGGAAGAGCUCAAAUUUGAAAUCUUAAAGGGUUUCCCUUUACGAAUUGUAGUUUAAAGAAGUGUUUUCUGUUGAGGUUUUGGUAAAAGUUCUUUGGAAUAGGACAUCAUAGAGGGUGAGAAUCCCGUAUUUGACCUUUACUUCCAACUUUGUGAUACACUUUCAAAGAGUCGGAUUGUUUGGGAAUGCAGUCCAAAAUGGGUGGUAAAUUUCAUCUAAAGCUAAAUAUUGGCGAGAGACCGAUAGCGAACAAGUACCGUGAGGGAAAGAUGAAAAGAACUUUGAAAAGAGAGUUAAACAGUACGUGAAAUUGUCAAAAGGGAAGCGUUUGACACCAGUGUUGUUUUUCUGAAAAUCAAUUAAAGAACUGUUUAUGCUAAGUUGUUUAGACUUUAUCAGCUAACUGUUUAGUUUUGAGCUUUUCUUUAAUGCACUUUUCAGUUAACAAGUCAACAUCAAUUUCUUCUGCUGUAAAAAAGCUUGAGGAAGGUGGCUUGAGAUUCGUCUUAAGUGUUUAUAGCCUCUUGCCUAUGCAGUCGGAGAGAUUGAGGUCUGCAGCGUAGAUCCUUCGGGGCUAAAUGCAUUUGUGCUAAGUUAUAGCAUUUUAUAGACAACUUGUUGACUAUGAUUUGUCUUGUAGCUUACCUCGCUUAUGUUAUUUUACCUACGCUUAGGAUGUUGACAGCAGUAUAGACUGU